UUGGGUUGUAAACCUCUUUUCUCAGGGAAGAACACAAUGACGGUACCUGAGGAAUCAGCAUCGGCUAACUCCGUGCCAGCAGCCGCGGUAAUACGGAGGAUGCAAGCGUUAUCCGGAAUGAUUGGGCGUAAAGCGUCCGCAGGUGGCGAUGUAAGUCUGCUGUUAAAGAGUGAGGCUCAACCUCAUAAGAGCAGUGGAAACUACAUAGCUAGAGUGCGUUCGGGGCAGAGGGAAUUCCUGGUGUAGCGGUGAAAUGCGUAGAUAUCAGGAAGAACACCGGUGGCGAAAGCGCUCUGC
RNAcentral lists this ribosomal RNA (297 nucleotides) under Nostoc sp. NOC. Its description in RNAcentral is "partial 16S ribosomal RNA". It matches the Rfam family "Bacterial small subunit ribosomal RNA", at positions 418 to 729 of the family's 1533-position model. Lineage: Bacteria; Bacillati; Cyanobacteriota; Cyanophyceae; Nostocales; Nostocaceae. The record is from RNAcentral.